This 494-nucleotide ribosomal RNA is filed under the name uncultured bacterium. RNAcentral's name for it is "bacterial SSU rRNA". It matches the Rfam family "Bacterial small subunit ribosomal RNA", at positions 903 to 1397 of the family's 1533-position model. The record is from RNAcentral.
AAAUGAAUAGACGGGGGCCCGCACAAGCGGAGGAACAUGUGGUUUAAUUCGAUGAUACGCGAGGAACCUUACCCGGGCUCGAACGGUAUGUGAACGAUACAGAGAUGUAAAGGUCAGCAAUGACACAUAUCGAGGUGCUGCAUGGUUGUCGUCAGCUCGUGCCGUGAGGUGUCGGCUUAAGUGCCAUAACGAGCGCAACCCUUGUCAGUAGUUACCAUCAGGUCAAGCUGGGGACUCUACUGAGACUGCCACCGUAAGGUGUGAGGAAGGGGGGGAUGACGUCAAAUCAGCACGGCCCUUAUGUCCGGGGCGACACACGUGUUACAAUGGUGAGUACAGAGGGCAGCUACACAGCGAUGUGAUGCUAAUCUCCAAAACUCAUCUCAGUUCGGAUCGGAGUCUGCAACUCGACUCCGUGAAGUUGGAUUCGCUAGUAAUCGCGCAUCAGCCAUGGCGCGGUGAAUACGUUCCCGGGCCUUGUACACACCGCCCGU